GAUGAGGGGGUGUUUUCCUGGGUAUUUCUUCUCCGUCGUUGGAGGCAGAAAGGAGAGGAGGAAAGGGGCAAGACGCACACGUUGCCUCCGCUGCUCACCCAACCGAUCAACGUCGCCUAUUCUCCGGCACCGAUGCUAGUGUUGCCAUCUCCGCAGUCACUUCCCUUUCUCUCUCAUCGCCCACCAACAACCGUCGGCGACACAGAGGGUUCUUCCGCUGCUAGGAGGGUCGCACACGCCAAGGAACGGAAAGAAUGAAGACAGAAGUGAAAUGGUACCGUGGAAUCGCGGCCACCAUAUCGGAUAUCGAGGGCGCCAUGGGCCGACCCGGACGGAUUUUGGUAGGACAGGACGUCGGAGGGCACGGUGGAGGGGAGGAGCUGCGGCCCGAGCCCGGUCUCCACCAUGGAAAGGACUUCCACCAUCAGAUCCCGCUGCGCCGGCGGUAGGUAGGGGAACUCCGCCACGGGAGGCGGCGGGGAGGUCAUCGAUGC
This is a long non-coding RNA of Zingiber officinale, 494 nucleotides long. RefSeq lists it as uncharacterized. The transcript has 2 exons. The record is from RefSeq and is a predicted model, not a curated record. NCBI's taxonomy places the organism in Eukaryota, Viridiplantae, Streptophyta, Magnoliopsida, Zingiberales, Zingiberaceae.